Molecule: ribosomal RNA, 447 nt
Filed under: uncultured bacterium
Lineage: Bacteria
Description: partial 16S ribosomal RNA
Rfam family: Bacterial small subunit ribosomal RNA
Source: RNAcentral
AACGAACGCUGGCGGCAGGCUUAACACAUGCAAGUCGAGCGCCCCGCAAGGGGAGCGGCAGACGGGUGAGUAACGCGUGGGAAUCUACCCAGCUCUACGGAACAACUCCGGGAAACUGGAGCUAAUACCGUAUACGUCCUUCGGGAGAAAGAUUUAUCGGAGUUGGAUGAGCCCGCGUUGGAUUAGCUAGUUGGUGGGGUAGUGGCCUACCAAGGCGACGAUCCAUAGCUGGUCUGAGAGGAUGAUCAGCCACACUGGGACUGAGACACGGCCCAGACUCCUACGGGAGGCAGCAGUGGGGAAUAUUGGACAAUGGGCGCAAGCCUGAUCCAGCCAUGCCGCGUGCGUGAUGAAGGCCUUAGGGUUGUAAAGCUCUUUUACCCGGGAUGAUAAUGACAGUACCGGGAGAAUAAGCUCCGGCUAACUCCGUGCCAGCCGCCGCCGUAA